AGUGAACGCUGGCGGCAGGCCUAACACAUGCAAGUCGAACGGCAGCACAGUAAGAGCUUGCUCUUACGGGUGGCGAGUGGCGGACGGGUGAGGAAUACAUCGCAAUCUACUUUUUCGUGGGGGAUAACGUAGGGAAACUUACGCUAAUACCGCAUACGACCUACGGGUGAAAGCAGUGGAUCUUCGCACCUUGCGCGUCACAAUUAGCCGAUGUCGGAUUAGCUAGUUGGCUGGGUAAAGGCUCACCAAGGCAACGAUGCGUAGCCGAUCUGAGAGGAUGGUCGGCCACACUGGAACUGGGACACGGUCCAGACUCCUACGGGAGGCAGCAGUAGGGAAUCGGCCGCAAUGGGCGCAAGCUUGACGGAGCAACGCCGCGUGAGUGAAGAAGGUCUUCGGAUCGUAAAACUCUGUUAUUAGGGAAGAACAAAUGUGUAAGUAACUAUGCACGUCUUGACGGUACCUAAUCAGAAAGCCACGGCUAACUACGUG
RNAcentral lists this ribosomal RNA (492 nucleotides) under uncultured bacterium. RNAcentral's name for it is "partial 16S ribosomal RNA". It matches the Rfam family "Bacterial small subunit ribosomal RNA", at positions 29 to 507 of the family's 1533-position model. The record is from RNAcentral.